AAAAUGUAAAGAAAACACACUUUCUUCUUAGGGGAUGGGAGAGAAUUUAAUACAUUCACCAAAUUAAAUGAAAGGACAAGAAUGUACUGUCAACACAAGACAAUUUAGAAUCAUAAACAAAAUGUGAGGUAGACUGACUAGUGAAAUUCACCAAAUUUUGGUUAAGAAACUUUACAGUAAUAAAGUAACACAGGUGCCUCCUUUUCUAAAAAUCACAAGAAGCAAUUGCAUAAAUUACAACCCAAAAAACUGAAUACAGCAGUUCUCAUUGUAAGUUUACAUUCAGUAUUAACCUGUGUGAACCCUCACAUAUGGCAGGGUUUAACAGGUCUAUAGGUCAGUUAUUCUGCAGGCCAAGUGAACACAUUCCCACCAUGAUAUUCUAAGGGCUGGCGAGGCUUGAAGUGGAACACACCAGGGGUUGUAUUAACCAAAUCAUGGUGGUCUGUGCUUGUGCAAUUUUAUCCUUAAAGGAGAAUGACCUAACAUUCUCUAAAGAAUUAUACUGAUAAGGUGAUUUUAAAAGAUCCAAGCCUUGGUAAGACAGACACUGAAAAGAAUAGGCAGGUCAGUUUAAAUUCUCCAUCAUCAGGGUGAUGGUCUUUUGGCUUUAUUCUGGCAUUUCUCUUCCACAGAGUUACAGAAUUUAAGAGAUCAUAAUCAUCUGAUUUUUUCCGAGUGUAGUGCUAAUAAAUAUGGAGUCUCCACAGCUCAAAUAAGUACUUAAAGUUUUUUUCCUUAGACUGAAGCCAUAAAGCCAGAAGAAACCCUGAGAGGCCAUCUGCCCCAGGAACAGCUGUUUAAGGAUUAUUUCAAGUAUUUUAUU
This 826-nucleotide long non-coding RNA is filed under the name Bos taurus (domestic cattle). RNAcentral describes it as "long non-coding RNA NONBTAT015040". Lineage: Eukaryota; Metazoa; Chordata; Mammalia; Artiodactyla; Bovidae. The record is from RNAcentral.